UGGGGAAUAUUGCGCAAUGGGCGAAAGCCUGACGCAGCAACGCCGCGUGGAGGAUGACGGUCUUCGGAUUGUAAACUCCUGUCGGGUGGAGCGAACGGGCGCUGGUCAAUAGCCAGAGGCCUUUGACGGUACCACCAGAGGAAGCCCCGGCUAACUCCGUGCCAGCAGCCGCGGUAAUACGGAGGGGGCAAGCGUUAUUCGGAAUUAUUGGGCGUAAAGGGCGUGUAGGCGGCUUGAUAAGUCAAAGGUGAAAUCCCUCGGCUCAACCGGGGAACUGCCUUUGAAACUGUCUCGCUAGAGGCCGGGAGAGGGUAGCGGAAUUCCCAGUGUAGCGGUGAAAUGCGCAGAUAUUGGGAGGAACACCAGUGGCGAAGGCGGCUACCUGGACCGGUUCUGACGCUGAGGCGCGAAAGCGUGGGGAGCAAACAGGAUUAGAUACCCCCGUAGUCC
Molecule: ribosomal RNA, 450 nt
Filed under: uncultured prokaryote
Description: bacterial SSU rRNA
Rfam family: Bacterial small subunit ribosomal RNA
Source: RNAcentral